UACGGGGGGAGCAAGCGUUGUUCGGAUUUACUGGGCGUAAAGGGCGCGUAGGCGGUCAGCACAAGUCAGUUGUGAAAUCUCCGGGUUUAACUCGGAAAGGUCAACUGAUACUGUGCGACUAGAGUGCGGAAGGGGCAACUGGAAUUCUCGGUGUAGCGGUGAAAUGCGUAGAUAUCGAGAGGAACACCUGCGGCGAAGGCGGGUUGCUGGGCCGUAACUGACGCUGAGGAGCGAAAGCAUGGGGAGCGAACAGG
RNAcentral lists this ribosomal RNA (254 nucleotides) under uncultured bacterium. Its description in RNAcentral is "partial 16S ribosomal RNA". It matches the Rfam family "Bacterial small subunit ribosomal RNA", at positions 524 to 776 of the family's 1533-position model. The record is from RNAcentral.